UACGAGUGCCCCGAGCGUUAUCCGGAAUCACUGGGCGUAAAGGGUGUGUAGGCGGCAUUGUUAGUCCUUGGUCAAAUUCUUCGGCUCAACCGGGGGUCCGCCAAGGAAACGGCAAAGCUUUGAGGAUGUGAGAGGUUUGCGGAACUCAUGGUGUAGGGGUGAAAUCCGUUGAUAUCAUGGGGAACACCGAAAGCGAAGGCAGCAAACUGGCACACUCCUGACGCUGAAACACGAAAGCGUGGGUAGCGAAUGGG
This 254-nucleotide ribosomal RNA is filed under the name uncultured bacterium. Its description in RNAcentral is "partial 16S ribosomal RNA". It matches the Rfam family "Bacterial small subunit ribosomal RNA", at positions 524 to 776 of the family's 1533-position model. The record is from RNAcentral.